Long non-coding RNA from Megalobrama amblycephala (Wuchang bream), 439 nucleotides. RefSeq lists it as uncharacterized. Lineage: Eukaryota; Metazoa; Chordata; Actinopteri; Cypriniformes; Xenocyprididae. The transcript is spliced from 3 exons. The record is from RefSeq and is a predicted model, not a curated record.
GCCAUUGGCAUAUCAUUAACAAUAACCGCUCUGAAGCAGGGGAGUCUCAAGAGAAGUCAGGUUAUCCCGGGCUUUCAUCAUCACGGGCAGGGCAUGCUGGGUUUGAGUGUAUGAGUGACACUGAAAUCACUAGUUCAUACAAGAUUGGAGAAAAGAAAGCAAGCAAGAAAGUAUAUUAUAAGGUGAUUCCAGUUUGAAGUAAUUUGACCCCCACACUGGUGGUCUGAAGAUCACCACAGCGAGACUAGAGAGUGCGGAUGACCUUUACUCUGACGUAUUCUCAAUACAAUGUGCUUAAAAUGUCCAAAUAUGUGAUUAUUGUAUAUAAAUAUUAACUGUAAACAUAAUCAUUUAAUGCUACACACUUCCACUGUAGACGUGGUAAUAUAAUUAGUCUGGAUAUUACAUUAAAUAAAACCUACUUUUAUGAAAAAGAAAA